GACGAACGCUGGCGGCGUGCCUAAUACAUGCAAGUAGAACGCUGAAGGAGGAGCUUGCUUCUCUGGAUGAGUUGCGAACGGGUGAGUAACGCGUAGGUAACCUGCCUGGUAGCGGGGGAUAACUAUUGGAAACGAUAGCUAAUACCUCAUAAGAGUAGAUGUUGCAUGACAUUUGCUUAAAAGGUGCAAUUGCAUCACUACCAGAUGGACCUGCGUUGUAUUAGCUAGUUGGUGGGGUAACGGCUCACCAAGGCGACGAUACAUAGCCGACCUGAGAGGGUGAUCGGCCACACUGGGACUGAGACACGGCCCAGACUCCUACGGGAGGCAGCAGUAGGGAAUCUUCGGCAAUGGACGGAAGUCUGACCGAGCAACGCCGCGUGAGUGAAGAAGGUUUUCGGAUCGUAAAGCUCUGUUGUAAGAGAAGAACGAGUGUGAGAGUGGAAAGUUCACACUGUGACGGUAUCUUACCAGAAAGGGACGGCUAACUACGUG
This 495-nucleotide ribosomal RNA is filed under the name uncultured bacterium. RNAcentral's name for it is "partial 16S ribosomal RNA". It matches the Rfam family "Bacterial small subunit ribosomal RNA", at positions 28 to 507 of the family's 1533-position model. The record is from RNAcentral.